ACAGAGGUCUCAAGCGUUGUUCGGAUUCAUUGGGCGUAAAGGGUGCGUAGGUGGCGAUGUAAGUCUGGUGUGAAAUCUCGGGGCUCAACCUCGAAAUUGCAUUGGAUACUGCGUUGCUUGAGGAUUGUAGAGGAGAGUGGAAUUCACGGUGUAGCAGUGAAAUGCGUAGAUAUCGUGAGGAAGACCAGUUGCGAAGGCGACUCUCUGGGCAAUUCCUGACACUGUGGCACGAAGGCCAGGGGAGCAAACGGGA
Molecule: ribosomal RNA, 253 nt
Filed under: uncultured prokaryote
Description: partial 16S ribosomal RNA
Rfam family: Bacterial small subunit ribosomal RNA
Source: RNAcentral